CCUACGGGGGGCUGCAGUGGGGAAUCUUGCGCAAUGGGGGAAACCCUGACGCAGCGACGCCGCGUGCGGGAUGACGGUCUUCGGAUCGUAAACCGCUUUUCCCAGGGACGAUUGUGACGGUACCUGGGGAAUAAGCCCCGGCUAACUCCGUGCCAGCAGCCGCGGUAAGACGGAGGGGGCAAGCGUUGUCCGGAAUUACUGGGCGUAAAGCGCUCGUAGGCGGUAUCAUACGGCGGUGGUGAAAGCUCCCGGCUCAACUGGGAGAGGCCCGCCGCAACGGUGGUACUUGAGGGUGGUAGAGGCAGAUGGAAUUCCUGGUGUAGCGGUGAAAUGCGUAGAGAUCAGGAGGAACACCCGUGGCGAAGGCGGUCUGCUGGGCCACACCUGACGCUGAGGAGCGAAAGCUAGGGGAGCGAACGGGCUUAGAUACCCUGGUAGUC
RNAcentral lists this ribosomal RNA (440 nucleotides) under uncultured bacterium. RNAcentral describes it as "bacterial SSU rRNA". It matches the Rfam family "Bacterial small subunit ribosomal RNA", at positions 338 to 795 of the family's 1533-position model. The record is from RNAcentral.